RNAcentral lists this long non-coding RNA (1106 nucleotides) under Equus asinus (donkey). RNAcentral describes it as "lncRNA (ENSEASG00005023986.1)". The record is from RNAcentral. Lineage: Eukaryota; Metazoa; Chordata; Mammalia; Perissodactyla; Equidae.
GAACAUUUUCUGAACCUUCUCAUCUAUUCCCUCACAUUUGCCUCUGGCGCUCUGCAAUCUUCCUCCUGGGAUGGUCUUGGUUUUCUCCCAGGACUUUCAUGUUUCUGGUUUUUCCUGUCCCCUCUAGUUGUAUCCCAUUUUCUCUUUCCCAUCUUGGGCAUAGCUGGCACUUGAUCGCAGUUCACUACCAACCCAGGCUGGUCCUGAACUUUGCUCCACAACCCAAUCUCUCUGUCAUGUACCUUCCUCCAGAUAAGGCAUUUGAAGAAAGUCUCCGGAAUGAUAUUUGAAGAAGAUAGGAAGCCUAAUAAGGAUGAGCACAGUUUGGAGUCAGUCAUACCUGGAUUUGAAAUCCAUCUUGCAUGUUACUAUGAUCUUGGGGGUCCUGCUGGGUAGAGGAACAGGGCAUAGAAGUCUUGCUGAGCAGAGGAAACGGAUAUUGGAGUUUGGGUUUCUAAGGUGGCUGGAAUCUGUGGGGCAGGAUGCUGGAGAAGACACUGUGCAGAAAAGGAGCAUCAGAAAUAUGCAUAGAGCAUCUCUUGGGCCUUGACUGAACACCAAUUUGCUUACAUGCAGGAUAAGACAUCGUAAGGCCUGGGGCUGAGAGCUGAACGAGGACUCCAGAGGUCAUAGAGCGCUCGGAGAUGUGCGACUUUCAACUGUUUCAAGUGAAGAGAUAUCACAAAAGCCCAGGGCGUUCAGUUGAAACAUCAAAAAGGCCACGUCUUAGGCAUAAGGAUCAUAUCACGGAGUAAGAAGUCUAGCCUGAGUCUAACAAAAUGUAAAACCAAGUCUCAACAGGAUCAAGAUGAUCUUCUAGUAACUUCACUGUCUGCUGAAAUAAAACUUCACACUCUUUAAAUGAAAAUAAUAUAAUGUAGACUGUCCACCAUUUAGCAGCUGGGUGAGCGUCCACUGGAGCCCCUGAUUGGCAGUGUAAUAUCAGCCAAACUUUUCUAAUCCUCAGUAAAAUGAUGAUUAUUAAGAUCCCUACCAGUUCAAAUUUCUAAAAUUAAAGAUAUAAGCACAGCUUUCUUUCCUUGGUACCAGCUGGUUCCCCACAUCUCCGUUUAGGCUUCAGGCUUCAGAAUCUGUACACAGAAAAG